CCUGUGGAGGUGAUUUGGAAAAAUCAAACCUUCAUUUCAGGCUUUUUCCUAUAUUUAUGAUAUAUAAUUUCUGUGACCCUUCUUAUAUUUCAAUAUACAGUCCCUGCAGGUCAAGAACAAAAUUAUAUUAUUAGGUACCUGUAACAUCUGGGCUCUCAUGGAGACCAAAGUGCACUGCAAAGGUUACAAAGUACACAAAGAUUACAACCUGAGAUGUUGUGGUAGUCGCUACUUUUUCUUAGUGGAGACCCAGUAAAGAACAUCACAAGUAGGAUGCUCCCAAUAAUUAAAUUAUGUUUUAUUCUGCCAUGUGCAGUACAGUAACUGUAGAAGAAAUGGACUAUUAUUUUCAAAUAAUUUAUUGUGUGCUACAGUAUGCUCAAAUUUAGACUAAAAUGACUAUUAGAAAAAGCAAUAUUUAUCAGUCAUAAAGAACUGCAGUUUAUAAGGCAAGUUUUAGCAAACUUAAUUGAUAAAACUAUAGAGCAACACAUGAAAUAGAUGAAUGGAAGAAAUAAAAUGCAGAUUAAAAGAAUGAGUUCAAGACAUUUCAGGCCUCAAUUUAUGGUAUAGAAUAAUGUUGAAAAUAUUAGGAGAGAGAUAUUUUAAUUUUUUUCAUCUCAUUUGUUUCAUUUUAAGUAGGAUGUAGUGUUGGACUACUUGAAUUUAAUGGAAUCCCACAUUAAAAGAUAAAAAGAAAUAGUCAUGAAGGUGGCUCUAGGGUUAAGAGGUGAAAAGGACCAUAUGGCUUACAUCACAGCAACAGCAAAUGGAAUGAGGAAGAAUGAAACUUUGCUGCUGGCUACAAGACUAUAUUCAGAGCCAUUCAGCUGUACUGUGAUCAGAACAGCUGCUAAGGAGAAGAUACACAUGAUGGCAUCUCCAGGAAUUACUUAAACCAGCAAAAGUCCCCAAACACCCUCUUUAGGUACUGGAAGGGAAGCAUAACUGUUCAAUGGGAGUGUGUAUGACAUUCAAGAUUCAUACUUACUCUUUUCAUAAAGAUAUGCCAGAAUUUGCAGAUUCUUUCUGAAUUUACAUGUGGCAAACACUAAUAACAAGGGA
Molecule: long non-coding RNA, 1065 nt
Filed under: Zonotrichia albicollis (white-throated sparrow)
Lineage: Eukaryota; Metazoa; Chordata; Aves; Passeriformes; Passerellidae
Description: lncRNA (ENSZALG00000011592.1)
Source: RNAcentral